This 328-nucleotide ribosomal RNA is filed under the name uncultured eukaryote. Its description in RNAcentral is "partial 18S ribosomal RNA". It matches the Rfam family "Eukaryotic small subunit ribosomal RNA", at positions 1470 to 1796 of the family's 1831-position model. The record is from RNAcentral.
CCCUUAGAUGUUCUGGGCCGCACGCGCGCUACACUGAUCGGUGCAACAAGCAUCCGUCCUUGGCCGACAGGCCCGGGCAAUCUUUGAACGCCGGUCGUGAUGGGGAUAGACCUUUGCAAUUUUUGGUCUUCAACGAGGAAUUCCUAGUAAACGCAAGUCAUCAGCUUGCAUUGAUUACGUCCCUGCCCUUUGUACACACCGCCCGUCGCACCUACCGAUUGAAUGGUCCGGUGAAAUCUUCGGAUCUGAGAGAUGUCUGAUUAAUUUCGGACGCCUUUUGGAAAAGUUGCUUAAACCUUACCAUUUAGAGGAAGGUGAAGUCGUANCA